UGGGGAAUAUUGGACAAUGGGCGCAAGCCUGAUCCAGCAAUGCCGCGUGAGUGAUGAAGGCCUUAGGGUUGUAAAGCUCUUUUACCCGGGAUGAUAAUGACAGUACCGGGAGAAUAAGCCCCGGCUAACUCCGUGCCAGCAGCCGCGGUAAUACGGAGGGGGCUAGCGUUGUUCGGAAUUACUGGGCGUAAAGCGCACGUAGGCGGCUUUGCAAGUUAGAGGUGAAAGCCCGGAGCUUAACUCCGGAAUUGCCUUUAAAACUGCAUCGCUAGAAUUGUGGAGAGGUGAGUGGAAUUCCGAGUGUAGAGGUGAAAUUCGUAGAUAUUCGGAAGAACACCAGUGGCGAAGGCGACUCACUGGACACAUAUUGACGCUGAGGUGCGAAAGCGUGGGGAGCAAACA
RNAcentral lists this ribosomal RNA (402 nucleotides) under uncultured Sphingomonas sp. RNAcentral describes it as "bacterial SSU rRNA". It matches the Rfam family "Bacterial small subunit ribosomal RNA", at positions 355 to 774 of the family's 1533-position model. Lineage: Bacteria; Pseudomonadati; Pseudomonadota; Alphaproteobacteria; Sphingomonadales; Sphingomonadaceae. The record is from RNAcentral.